ACUAAAACUAGCCCUAACACAAUUUUACUCAACUAUUUAAUUACUGUAAAACAAAACAUUUGAAAAAAGACAGUAUUGGAGAAAGAAAACUUAACAAGGAGCUAUAGAGACAGUACCGCAAGGGAAAGAUGAAAGAUUAUUUUAAAGUAAAACAAAGCAAAGAUUAAAUCUUGUACCUUUUGCAUAAUGAAUUAACUAGAAACACUCUAACUAAGAGAACUUAAGCUAGAUACCCCGAAACCAAACGAGCUACCUACGAGCAGUUUAAAGAACUAACCCGUCUAUGUGGCAAAAUAGUGGGAUGACUCUUAGGUAGAGGUGAAAAGCCUACCGAGCUUGGUGAUAGCUGGUUACCCAAUAAAGAAUUUCAGUUCAAUUUUAAGAUUACCAUAAAAGAUAUUAAUCAAAAUGUAAUCUUAAAUUUUAGCCUAAAGAGGGACAGCUCUUCAGGAAUGGAAACAACCUUUUAUAGUGAAUAAACUUUACAAUAUAAGAUCAUUGUUGGCCUAAAAGCAGCCACCAAUAAAGAAAGCGUUAAAGCUCAACACUAUCAUAUCUAGAUACCAUAAAUUAUAAUGAAUUCCUAUAAAUUUAAUUGGGUUAAUCUAUAAUCAUAUAGAUGAAAUACUGUUAGUAUGAGUAAUAAGAACACUGUUCUCCAGGCACAAGCCUAUAACAACCCGGAUAACCAUUGUUAAUUAACAUCCUAGGUAGUUAUGUACUAAAUAAAAAUUACCUAAACCUCAAAUGUUAAUCCAACACAGGUGUGCCAUAAGGAAAGAUUAAAAGAAGUAAAAGGAACUCGGCAAACAAGAAUCCCGCCUGUUUACCAAAAACAUCACCUCUAGCAUAAAAAGUAUUAGAGGCAAUGCCUGCCCAGUGACAGACGUUAAACGGCCGCGGUAUCCUGACCGUGCAAAGGUAGCAUAAUCACUUGUUCCUUAAUUGGGGACUGGAAUGAAUGGCUUAACGAGGAUUCAACUGUCUCUUACUUCCAAUCAAUGAAAUUGACCUUCCCGUGAAGAGGCGGGAAUUACAUAAUAAGACGAGAAGACCCUAUGGAGCUUUAAUUUACUAAACUAACUAUUCCCACUACAAUCCUACUGGACUAAACAACAAGAUAUAGAUUAGUAAUUUCGGUUGGGGUGACCUCGGAGUAUAAAACAACCUCCGAACGAUUAUAACCAAGAUUAACAAAUCGAAGUAAUCAUAAUCUAAUUGACCCAAUUUUUUGAUCAACGGACCAAGUUACCCUAGGGAUAACAGCGCAAUCCUAUUCAAGAGUCCAUAUCGACAAUAGGGUUUACGACCUCGAUGUUGGAUCAGGACAUCCCAAUGGUGUAGAAGCUAUUAAUGGUUCGUUUGUUCAACGAUUAAAGUCCUACGUGAUCUGAGUUCAGACCGGAGUAAUCCAGGUCGGUUUCUAUCUAUUAACUAUUUCUCCCAGUACGAAAGGACAAGAGAAAUGAGGCCUCCUUAAUAAAAGUGCCUUAAAAUUAAUAUAUGAACUUAUCUUAAUUUAGCAAGUCAGUAAAACAAUACCCUAGACAAGGGUUUA
Molecule: ribosomal RNA, 1558 nt
Filed under: Phenacomys intermedius (western heather vole)
Lineage: Eukaryota; Metazoa; Chordata; Mammalia; Rodentia; Cricetidae
Description: 16S ribosomal RNA
Rfam family: Bacterial large subunit ribosomal RNA
Source: RNAcentral